Molecule: transfer RNA, 74 nt
Filed under: candidate division GN15 bacterium
Lineage: Bacteria
Description: tRNA-His
Rfam family: tRNA
About the family: Transfer RNA (tRNA) molecules are approximately 80 nucleotides in length. Their secondary structure includes four short double-helical elements and three loops (D, anti-codon, and T loops).
Source: RNAcentral
GCUGGGGUAGUUCAGUUGGUUAGAACGCCUGAUUGUGGAUCAGGAGGCCGGUGGUUCGAGUCCACCCCUCAGUA